Molecule: small nuclear RNA, 19 nt
Filed under: Arabidopsis thaliana (thale cress)
Lineage: Eukaryota; Viridiplantae; Streptophyta; Magnoliopsida; Brassicales; Brassicaceae
Description: snRNA_13131
Source: RNAcentral
UGAUUUUUGCGGUUUUGGC